GGGUCAGUAGGUUGGUCGUGCCACCGGUACGUACUGGCCUCACUGAUUCCUCCUUCCUGAAGAACGGUAAUGCCAUUAAUUUGGUGUUGCGGGGAAACAGGACUGUUACUUUGAAAAAAUUAGAGUGUUUAAAGCAAGCUAACGCUUGAAUACAUUAGCAUGGAAUAAUGAAAUAGGACGAUCGAUCCUAUUUUGUUGGUUUCUAGGAUUGACGUA
RNAcentral lists this ribosomal RNA (216 nucleotides) under Glomeromycotina sp. Its description in RNAcentral is "partial small subunit ribosomal RNA". The stretch from base 40 to 216 matches the Rfam family "Eukaryotic small subunit ribosomal RNA", at positions 686 to 864 of the family's 1831-position model. The record is from RNAcentral. Lineage: Eukaryota; Fungi; Glomeromycota.